RNAcentral lists this unclassified non-coding RNA (261 nucleotides) under Hevea brasiliensis (rubber tree). Lineage: Eukaryota; Viridiplantae; Streptophyta; Magnoliopsida; Malpighiales; Euphorbiaceae. The record is from RNAcentral.
UCUUGCAGUUGCUUGUGCUAAGUUUACUGUCUUCUGAAGUAUCCUCUUUUAAACUUGUCACUGGGUAUCUUGUUGUAUCAUCAUCUAGACUAGAUGUUACUGCAUCUACCUCAUUGUCAUUGUGUCUAUUUCAAUGCACUAAGCCAUAUUCCUCUAACUAAAUUCAGUAUCAUAUACCCUGUAUCAUUAUGCCUCUAAUGUGUUGACAUCUUAGUUAUAGAUCCAUGCUUCAUUGCUUUUUUUCCAUGCAUGGCGCAGCAG